GGGGGAAUUGUCAAAGGUAGGGCAGCAUAUUUGCAGUUUGCUUUUGUAGGUUCAAUUCCUGCUUCCCCCA
This 70-nucleotide transfer RNA is filed under the name Phaeophyceae sp. Its description in RNAcentral is "tRNA-Ala". It matches the Rfam family "tRNA". From Rfam's summary of the family: Transfer RNA (tRNA) molecules are approximately 80 nucleotides in length. Their secondary structure includes four short double-helical elements and three loops (D, anti-codon, and T loops). Further hydrogen bonds mediate the characteristic L-shaped molecular structure. tRNAs have two regions of fundamental functional importance: the anti-codon, which is responsible for specific mRNA codon recognition, and the 3' end, to which the tRNAs corresponding amino acid is attached (by aminoacyl-tRNA synthetases). tRNAs cope with the degeneracy of the genetic code in two manners: having more than one tRNA (with a specific anti-codon) for a particular amino acid; and 'wobble' base-pairing, i.e. permitting non-standard base-pairing at the 3rd anti-codon position. Lineage: Eukaryota; Phaeophyceae. The record is from RNAcentral.